UGAGGAAUAUUGGGCAAUGCCCGAAAGGGUGACCCAGCAACGCCGCGUGGAGGAUGAAGGUCGUAAGAUUGUAAACUCCUGUUAGAGGGGAAGAAUAACUAAGUUUGGAGCUUAGUAUGACUGUACCCUCAGAGAAAGCCCCGGCUAACUACGUGCCAGCAGCCGCGGUAAUACGUAGGGGGCAAGCGUUGUCCGGAUUUACUGGGUGUAAAGGGCGCGCAGGCGGGAUAAAAAGUCAGUGGUGAAAUCCUACAGCUUAACUGUAGAACUGCCUUUGAUACUUUUAUUCUUGAGUUCGGGAGAGAGAGACGGAAUUCCAGGUGUGGUGGUGAAAUACGUAGAUAUCUGGAAGAACACCAGUUGCGAAGGCGGUCUCUUGGUCCGACACUGACGCUGAGGCGCGAAAGCGUGGGGAGCAAACA
RNAcentral lists this ribosomal RNA (422 nucleotides) under uncultured bacterium. RNAcentral describes it as "bacterial SSU rRNA". It matches the Rfam family "Bacterial small subunit ribosomal RNA", at positions 355 to 774 of the family's 1533-position model. The record is from RNAcentral.